UAAAUUUAAAUGUCAGAUGACCAACAAAUGAUUUUUGGUAUAAGUAUAGCCCAUGCUAUAUUUGGGAUAUACUUAUACUAAAAGGUAUUUAUUAUUUAUCUGCGAUUCAGAUUUAACU
Molecule: microRNA precursor, 118 nt
Filed under: Pteropus vampyrus (large flying fox)
Lineage: Eukaryota; Metazoa; Chordata; Mammalia; Chiroptera; Pteropodidae
Description: miRNA (ENSPVAG00000028182.1)
Rfam family: mir-1302 microRNA precursor family (bases 32-83)
Source: RNAcentral